CCCUGGCUAGUUCAGUUUGUAGAGCGCUCCACUGGAAAUGGAGAGGUCCCGGGUUCGAUACCCGGACCAGGUG
RNAcentral lists this transfer RNA (73 nucleotides) under Ixodes scapularis (black-legged tick). It matches the Rfam family "tRNA". Rfam says of the family: Transfer RNA (tRNA) molecules are approximately 80 nucleotides in length. Their secondary structure includes four short double-helical elements and three loops (D, anti-codon, and T loops). Lineage: Eukaryota; Metazoa; Arthropoda; Arachnida; Ixodida; Ixodidae. The record is from Rfam by way of RNAcentral.